GCCCGGCUCUGCCGGUUAGUGUUUGGGGCACUUUGGUCCUCCGACCCGCAGGUGGAGCUGUCGGUUGCUGCCGGUUAGUGUUUGGGGCACUUUGGUCCUCCGACCCGCAGGUGGAGCUGGUCUGUGAAGACGUGCAACAUCUCAGAGGGCUGCUGAUUGGGCGGCCUAUAAAAGGCCUCCCAUCAGCAUGCUCUCGCUCUCAUGCUCAUGCUCUCUCUCUUUCUCUCUCUCGUCCCACAGGCACAUUCGUUUGGUGACCGUAUGGUCACGGCAACGACGGCCGGGAUUAGCACCACACUAACACCCUUUUUGGACAACACUCAUUUACUGAUACAUUCCUUGGUUAAUUCACAUUACUGAUCACUGAUACAUGUUGUAAAUAAAAGAUCUGUUGGCUAAAAUGUACAAAUCGGUGUGGUCUCCCUUAAUGUUACAGCCACUAACAAGCCAGUGGUUGUGACAUAUGGGGGCUCGUCCGGGAUUUGGUAGUAACUUUAGGCUUUGGUAAUUCCUUCUACUGGCUAUGGCAGCGUAGGAAGGUGCGUAGAGCUCUUUGUAUUGAGUAUUCCUUCUACUGGCUUUUGGAGCGUAGGAAGGUGAGUAGAGCUGAGUUACUAAUUGUGUACUGCUGAUAGUCAGUUGGGGCCUGUUAUCAGUUAGUUAAUUGGGGGAUCUGCUGAUUUGUACUUUUGAGGCUUUGUUUGACCGUGCAAGUGUAGGUAGACACUGAAUUGUUUGUUCCAGCCAUCUUGGUUGAGUUUCAUUGCAGUUUGUAGCAUUGCAUUCAGCCUCUUAGGAGCUGUCGCCUUUAUCCCCAUCUAGUACGGGUUCUAGGUUCCUGCUGUCACAGAGCCUGGGCGAGGGCACCGCCUUGGAGAAACGGCUGAAUCGGCUUUGUCGGGAUGGUACGUCUCCACAGGUAUUGGUGAGUAAAUGAUCCUCGUCCUCGGGCUCUGUGUGAAAAUAGAUUAGUCUAGUGGGGGGAAAAUGUUUAGGGGGAUGCUCCGAGGUUAGUUUGCUGUGUUAACAUAACUGUAAUGUUUUAGAGACCUGGUUAGAUUGGUUGGAGAGAGAGAGCCUAGCGUAAUUAGAGCUAGUUUUUGGUUGGGUUGUUUUUUCAGUAGUUUCAUUGUUGGUUUGGUACAGUAGCCAGAUUGGUACUGACGGCCUGGGUUGAGCAGGAUGGAGGCUUUUGUGGAAGCACCAUCUGAGAAAUUGUUGUUUGCCCUUAAUAAGGAACAGUUGUUGCAAUUGGCAGAAAAGUAUGGCAUGGAAUUGUCAUCAGCCAUUAGAACUGGUAAGAAGGGACCCUUGCGUGACUCCAUUCACGAAUUUUUGUGUGAGCAGAGCAUUUUGCCUUCGGGAAAAGGUGGUGACGCUCAUGUGAAGGGUAUGUCAGAGCCUAUGCAGUCAGAGAGGGUAGGCAUACUGACUUUUGAGCAACAAAGAGAGAUGAAGGCACUUGAAUUUGAGUGGGCGCAACAGGCUAAGGAGAAAGAACGUCUUUUUGAACUGGAAAAAAUCAAAUUAGAACGAGGAUUGCAACAGCAAGCAGAUAUGGAGAGACUCAAAUUUGAAAAAGAAAUGGAUUUGAAAAAAGGUGAAAUGGACCUUACAGUACAGCUUGAGAAAAUUAAAAUUGAACAGGAUCGUUUGAAACUAAUGUCAGAAGGUAAGAUUAGUGGAAAUCUGUCCGGGUCAAGUAUGGAUAGCAUGGUAAAGUAUGUUCCAAAGUUUGACGAACGUGACCCAGACGUGUUUUUCUCACUGUUUGAACAGAUGGCCUCUGACAAAAAGUGGAGUGAAGAGGAUAGAACGGUGCUUUUGCAAACUGUACUAGUAGGACGCGCACGGGAGGCAUACUUGGCAUUAACACCUGUUGAUAGGCACAAGUAUGCUGAGGUGAAAAAAGCGGUCUUGAAAUGUUAUGAACUGAAUCCAGAAGCUUACAGACAACGUUUCAGAAACUGGCGUAAACGUGAUAAUCAGACCCAUGCUGAAGUGGCAAGAGAGUUGAGUACUUAUUUUAACCGGUGGCUCACUUCAGAGUCUGUCUCAACUUACGAAAAUUUGCGUGAUUUGUUGAUUUUGGAGCAGUUUAAGAACAUUGUACCAGAUCGAAUUGCAACCUACAUUAAUGAGCAAAAGGCAAAGUCAGUGGAGGAGGCAGCCUCGCUUGCUGAUACCUUUGUGUUGACUCAUAAACGUAAGCCUUACAGCUUUCCUCCACGGUAUAAUAGCCACCAACGUUAUGAUCCUGCUCGUUCUCCUCCACAACGUUCUCCUCCUCGUUAUGGUCGUAGUUCAAAUCGAUCCAAUUAUGGCAAUUCCAGUAAUGUUCCUAAAUUUGAUAAUGGAAGUAGCAAAUCUCGCCCAAGCCCGACGAAUAAAUGUCAUUACUGUUUGCAGGAGGGACAUUGGAAAAAGGACUGCCCGCUGUUGAAAGGCCGUAAAUCUAAUGCCAAGGUAGCUGGGUGUGUUUCUGUUGUGCAUCCAGUUGAUUUUGGCGUCUCUGAUUUAACACCGUUACCUCGUUUGGAAGUUCAUUGUGAGCAAGUGAUUGAAGAUGGUGCAUCUGUGUCAGACGAGCAGACGAAAUCAGUAGAGUCAGCUGGGUCUGAUUUCGCUCCAUUCAUUAGUGAUGGCUGGGUGUCAUUGGUUGGAGAGACACAAAAAGUUCCAGUUAAAAUCUUAAGAGACACUGGGGCAUCUGAGAGUUUCAUUUCUGGAGCAGUUUUGCCAUUUUCCACAGCAUCUGACACUGGGAAAUGUGUUUUGAUUAGAGGAAUAGGCAUGCAGUCAUUUUCUGUACCGUUGCACAAAAUUCACUUGUGUUCAGGAUUUGUGAAUGGGGAGGUGACUAUUGCUGUGAGACCGUCUCUGCCUAUGCAGGAUAUCAAUGUAAUUCUGGGGAACAAUUUGGGUGGGUGUUUAGUUUCUCCACCUCCAGUUGUUACACCUGUACCGCUAUCUGUAGAGGAGCCAGACGCGUGUUGUCAAGAAUUCCCAGAAGUGUUUACUGCUUGUGCUGUGACUAGGGCAAUGUCUCACACGCAGGCGCAAUCGUCGGAUGUGUCCAAAUCUGUGCCUUUUUUUGUUCCUGAGCUGCCCGAACCUCUGUCAUGUCAAGAUUUAAUUGAGGCACAAAAGAAUGAUCAGAGCUUUGAGAAAUAUUUUGCCUUAGCUUCUACUGAUCCAACGAUGGGUUACUUCAUUCAGAAUGGCGUUUUGCUGCAUACGUGGUUGCCAGGUGUUGAUCCUGAAGUGGCAGGUCAGGUGAUUCAAGUGAUGGUACCUGACAAAUACCGUGAUUUGAUUUUGAGAACAGCCCAUGGAGCAGAGUCUGGGCAUUUUGGAGUUAAGAAAACCUACCGACGUCUUUUGGAACAUUUUUACUGGCCACGGAUGAAACGCCAUGUAUCUAGAUUUGUCAAAGCAUGUCAUGUUUGCCAGGUUGCGAAACAGAGUACUCCCAUUAAACCUGCACCACUUCAACCUAUUCCGUCUGUUGGCACACCAUUUGAGCAUCUCAUUAUUGAUUGUGUAGGUCCACUACCCCCUUCGAAAUAUGGUUGUGUGUACCUCUUUACCAUCAUGUGCCAGGCCACUCGGUAUCCAGCAGCGUAUGCCUUGAGAACAAUUACCACAAGGUCAAUAUUGAAAUGUUUGUCUAAAUUCAUUUCUGUCUUUGGCAUUCCGAAGGUAAUUCAGAGCGACAGAGGGUCUAACUUUACCUCCAGAACAUUUGCUGCAGCGUUGAAGUCGAUGCAGGUGAAGCACAAUUUGAGCAGCGCGUAUCACGCACAGAGUCAGGGGGCAUUGGAGCGCUGGCAUGCCACGUUGAAGUCUCUCUUGCGCGCUUACUGUGUUGAGAUGCGGAGAGAUUGGGAGGAGGCGUUGCCAUGGCUCUUGUUGUCUGCGCGUGGUGUAGUUCAAGAAAGCACUGGUUUUAGUCCAAAUGACCUAGUCUUUGGCCACAAAGUCCGGACCUCACUGUCUGUUUUAAAUGCCAAUCUGGAUCUGCAGAACACUCCCGUCAGUUUCACUGAGUAUGUAGAUGGUUUUCGUCGUAGGCUGUUGCUUGCAUGGAAAGAGGCAACCGAGCAUUUGACUAAAGCUCAGGUGAAAAUAAAGCUGCGUUAUGACCGUAAAGCGAAGAUCAGAGUUUUCAAUCCAGGUGAUCAAGUUUUAGCUUUGCUGCCCAUUCCGGGGUCACCAUUUACAGCAAAAUACUCUGGUCCAUUUACGGUUAUGAGCCAAGUGUCAGAUCUCAAUUAUUUACUAUCAACUCCUGAUCGUAAACGAUCACAGCAACUGUGUCAUGUGAAUUUACUCAAGCCUUACCACUCUGCAGGUUCCGACAAGGCGGGUGGGAUUGCUGCGAGUCCAGUGGGUCUAGCCGUUGGGGUUGGGGAACCGCUCAACUGGCCGGAGGUGGCAGCUUGGGAUGAAGUGCGCGCACCUGAUGAUUCAGUGUUACACGGGCGCUUAGAUAAUACUCAGCAGUUAAAGGAGCUAGAUAGUCUCCUCGGUCAUUUAAGUGAGGUACAGCGUAAACAGUUGUCGGAUUUGAUUUUUGAGUUUUUGCCUUUGUUUUCCGACAGGUGGGAGCAGGUGCGGUCCUCCUGCAGGCUGAUGAUGAUGGAGUAGCCAGACCGGUUUGCUAUUUUUCAAAAAAAUUCAACAAAUACCAAUUUAAUUAUUCAGUGAUUGAAAAGGAAGCAUUAGCAUUGAUUUGGGCAUUGCAACACUUUGAAGUCUAUGUGGGAGGGGGUCUCCAUCCAAUUGUGGUCUACUCAGAUCACAACCCUCUCACUUUUCUACAGUCUUUCAAAGGGUCCACCAACCAGCGCCUGUUGCGCUGGGCACUGUUUCUGCAGCCAUUCCACCUGUUGAUCCGCCAUAUUCGCGGGGUGGAAAAUGUAAUGGCUGAUGCGCUCUCUCGGGCUCUGGACCAGGAGGUCUAAUCAUCUCCACUCACUCCUAACCUGCGGUUUUUCUCUGUUUCCCUUAAAGGUCGCUGUCCGGGUACCAGGAUUUGCUGGGUGCAGGGAAGGUCGGAGGGUAAGGAGGGUGUUUGGGAUGGUUUGGGUUCUGGUUGGUCUGGGGUGGAGGGGAGGUGCGUCAUUGGGACUAGAAUAUAGCUACUGGGGCUACUGUAGGUUUUGGUUUUCUAUUUUUUGAUGGUGCUUCAGAGACCCAGUUAACACGGGUCUCUGUUUUUAAGGGGGGGGAUGUCAUGCCCGGCUCUGCCGGUUAGUGUUUGGGGCACUUUGGUCCUCCGACCCGCAGGUGGAGCUGUCGGUUGCUGCCGGUUAGUGUUUGGGGCACUUUGGUCCUCCGACCCGCAGGCACAUUCGUUUGGUGACCGUAUGGUCACGGCAACGACGGCCGGGAUUAGCACCACACUAACACCCUUUUUGGACAACACUCAUUUACUGAUACAUUCCUUGGUUAAUUCACAUUACUGAUCACUGAUACAUGUUGUAAAUAAAAGAUCUGUUGGCUAAAAUGUACAAAUCGGUGUGGUCUCCCUUAAUGUU
Molecule: RNA transcript, 5543 nt
Organism: Nerophis ophidion (straightnose pipefish)
Lineage: Eukaryota; Metazoa; Chordata; Actinopteri; Syngnathiformes; Syngnathidae
Exons: 2
Source: RefSeq, a predicted model, not a curated record